This 257-nucleotide long non-coding RNA is filed under the name Ornithorhynchus anatinus (platypus). RNAcentral describes it as "lncRNA (ENSOANG00000039698.1)". The record is from RNAcentral. Lineage: Eukaryota; Metazoa; Chordata; Mammalia; Monotremata; Ornithorhynchidae.
AAAAUCCUUGUCAGAGGAAGUUUAUCCUACUGUUCAGCCUGAUGAUUUUUUUGCUUAAUUUUAGCCCCUUGUGCCUGGAGAGACGAAUGGAAACUUUACAGGGCACCAGGUGCAGGCACCACAGAAAACAUGAAUCAUUCCAAGGCCGGAUCAUUCUUCCUUUUUUUCCCAAGGAACACAGAGGGGGGCUUAUAUUAAGCCGUUUCAGAGGACCAAGUUGUUGCUACUGUGCAGAAAGAUUCAUAAUAAUGAAAUAG